This 461-nucleotide ribosomal RNA is filed under the name uncultured Desulfobulbus sp. RNAcentral describes it as "bacterial SSU rRNA". It matches the Rfam family "Bacterial small subunit ribosomal RNA", at positions 927 to 1382 of the family's 1533-position model. The record is from RNAcentral. Lineage: Bacteria; Pseudomonadati; Thermodesulfobacteriota; Desulfobulbia; Desulfobulbales; Desulfobulbaceae.
AAGCGGUGGAGUAUGUGGUUUAAUUCGAUGCAACGCGAAGAACCUUACCUGGUCUUGACAUCCCGGAGACCCUUAGGAAACUAGGGGGUGCUUCCAUCUGGAAGAAUCUGGAGACAGGUGCUGCAUGGCUGUCGUCAGCUCGUGUCGUGAGAUGUUGGGUUAAGUCCCGCAACGAGCGCAACCCUUGCCUUUAGUUGCCAGCAGUUCGGCUGGGCACUCUAAAGGGACUGCCGGUGUUAAACCGGAGGAAGGUGGGGAUGACGUCAAGUCCUCAUGGCCUUUAUGACCAGGGCUACACACGUACUACAAUGGCCGAUACAAAGGGCAGCGACACUGCGAGGUGAAGCCAAUCCCGUAAAAUCGGUCUCAGUCCGGAUUGGAGUCUGCAACUCGACUCCAUGAGGUUGGAAUCGCUAGCAAUCGUGGAUCAGCAUGCCACGGUGAAUACGUUCCCGGGCCUU